RNAcentral lists this ribosomal RNA (374 nucleotides) under uncultured bacterium. RNAcentral's name for it is "bacterial SSU rRNA". It matches the Rfam family "Bacterial small subunit ribosomal RNA", at positions 525 to 896 of the family's 1533-position model. The record is from RNAcentral.
ACGAACCGUGCGAACGUUAUUCGGAAUCACUGGGCUUAAAGCGCGUGUAGGCGGAUGGGGACGUCGGUCGCUGAAAUCCCCCGGCUCAACCGGGGAACUGGCCCCGAAACGCCCCGUCUGGAGGAACGUAGGGGGAUCUGGAACUUCCGGUGGAGCGGUGAAAUGCGUUGAGAUCGGAAGGAACGCCCGUGGCGAAAGCGAGAUCCUGGACGUUUUCUGACGCUGAGACGCGAAAGCUAGGGUAGCGAACGGGAUUAGAUACCCCGGUAGUCCUAGCCGUAAACGAUGGGCACUGGAUAGGGGGCUCGCCGAUGGGCUCCCUGUCGUAGGGAAACCGUGAAGUGCCCCGCCUGGGGAGUAUGGUCGCAAGGCUG